Long non-coding RNA from Drosophila sulfurigaster albostrigata, 789 nucleotides. RefSeq lists it as uncharacterized. The record is from RefSeq and is a predicted model, not a curated record. NCBI's taxonomy places the organism in Eukaryota, Metazoa, Arthropoda, Insecta, Diptera, Drosophilidae. The transcript has 2 exons.
AAAAGGUGCGUCCUUCUAAACUGUGGCAUACCUUUAUGUAAAUAAAACCCAUAUAUCAUCAUUCAGAAGCAGCACGACGAGCCACAAAACAAAGCAAACGUCGUUGUAAUUGUAAUUGUAAUUGUAAUAUGUGGGUCCAUCUUCAAUUCGUUAGCAAUUACUUAAGGUAAACAAAUGUAAAUGUAAUUCAUAUUUGAAUUGAAUUUACAGCUGCGACCUUCGCUGUGGCAAUCAAAAGCCAAAGCCGAGAUCGAACUGCUUGGUUAUUAGUGAAAUUCGAACCGUUAACUGAAUGCCACAAGUAUUUGAAUUGUCUUAGCGCCGGAUUUGUUUGGCUCUGAAAAGGCGUUGGAUACAUCAACAACAAAUACUUCAACUCGUAUGUAGAUGCGAUGGAUCGAUAGAUGUGUGUGAGUAUGAGUUAAUAUCUUUUGAAAUUGGUUACUUCCAUUUGGCACACGAUCACCACGAAAAGAAAAAAGCCCAGUUUAAGGUCAACUAAUUGCCAGCGACAUGUGACGAUUUCGUUGCGAGGAGCAUUUGCAAUUUACAAUCUAAUUUACUGGAACUAAACUUGCACUUAAUGAUUUAUUUAUAGAUAUCAAGUGCAAUUAAUUUUAGGAAACCCAAUGUUGUGCUUCAUUUCGCGAAUGAAUCAGCAACUCAAAGACACACUCUUUAUUCUCAGGUACCUAAUUAUGUAUUCACUUAAUAAACGGUGUCAGAUUGGACUCAUUAUGAAGAUCUAAGAACACAAAUUAAAAUAAAAGUAAACAAACGUUGAAUUCA